CUUGGUCAUUUAGAGGAAGUAAAAGUCGUAACAAGGUUUCCGUAGGUGAACCUGCGGAAGGAUCAUUAGCGAAUUGUAAUGGGAGUUGAUGCUGGUAAAGGGAGAAACAAACACCUUUGCAUGUGCUCGCUUCUAACAAUUUUUUAUCCAAACACCUGUGCACCUUUUGAGGGGAGAUUAAUCUUUAUCGGGUUUUCUCUCUUCAUUUUUAUACAUACACACUAGUUUCAAUGUUGAAUGUGCUUGUGCCCUAUAAUCAAAGGGCCUUGAAUAAAUACAACUUUUAACAACGGAUCUCUUGGCUCUUGCAUCGAUGAAGAACGCAGCGAAAUGCGAUAAGUAAUGUGAAUUGCAGAAUUCAGUGAAUCAUCGAAUCUUUGAACGCACCUUGCGCCCCCUGGUAUUCCGGGGAGCACACCUGUUCGAGUGUCUUGAAACUGUCAAGCUGGGGAACCUUUUGUUUAGAAAGGUGGCCUAUGUUUGGUUAUUGGGCUCUGCCAUGUCCUGCAAUUGGGAAUGGCUGGCCUUAAAAAUAUUAGCUGACCUUGAUAUAACAGUGAUAAUCUACUCGGCGUAUUAAUGAUACACAGACCGCAGAGGAUGCUGUUAUCUUGGGUUGCUUUCCAAUCUGGUAUUUGGUGGUUCUCAGGAAUCCAUUAUCCAUCUUCAAAUUUGACCUCGAAUCAGGUGGGACUACCCGCUGAACUUAAGCAUAUCAAUAAGCGGAGGAAAAGAAACUAACAAGGAUUCCCCUAGUAACGGCGAGUGAAGAGGGAAAAGCUCAAAUUUAAAAUCUGGCAGUCUUUGAUUGUCCGAGUUGUAGUCUAGAGAAGUGUAAUCCGUGUUGGACUGUGUACAAGUUUCCUGGAUACGGAACAUCAUAGAGGGUGAGAAUCCCGUCCUUGACACAGACUACCAAUGCUUUGUGAUGCGCUCUCGACGAGUCGAGUUGUUUGGGAUUGCAGCUCAAAAUGGGAGGUAAAUUCCUUCUAAAGCUAAAUAUUGGCAAGAGACCGAUAGCGAACAAGUACCGUGAGGGAAAGAUGAAAAGCACUUUGGAAAGAGAGUUAAACAGUACGUGAAAUUGUUAAAAGGGAAACGCUUGAAGUCAGGCAUGUUUAUUUGGACUCAACCUUGCUGUGGCUUGGUGCAUUUCCUUGUAGACAAGCCAGCGUCCAUGUUGUUUAUCGAAAAAAGGGUGAAAGAAUGUGGCUCCUUUGGGAGUGUUAUAGCUUUUUCUCGUAUGCGGUGACUAAUAUGGAGUGGUACAGCAUGCUUCGGUGGUGCUUGUGCUGGCAUAAUGGCUUUAAACGACCCGUCUUGAAACACGGACC
This 1334-nucleotide ribosomal RNA is filed under the name uncultured fungus. Its description in RNAcentral is "eukaryotic LSU rRNA". The stretch from base 674 to 1334 matches the Rfam family "Eukaryotic large subunit ribosomal RNA", at positions 1 to 667 of the family's 3401-position model. Lineage: Eukaryota; Fungi. The record is from RNAcentral.